CUACUCCUCUUCCGGGCACACUGGAGAAUUACACUUCCUUGCUGACUUGAGAUAAGUCACAGCUUUGGCCAAUGAAGUGUGAAUGGAAGUUUUCAGAACCUUUAAGAGCCUGUACGCAAUUUGCCAUGCUUUCUCUUUUUGCUUUGUCACCAAAACCUCUGCGUUCCAGAUAGUGACUACUCUGUCUGCGUGGGUCCUGGAGAGAGGAGGAUGCAGAGCACAGCACUUAGCCAACCUGCAAUGGACACGUAGAAUCCUCCUUACUGUCUUGUGUUCAAUGCUGAAGACCUGGUGUCCAUGCCUAACAUAACCUGAAGGUGCCUCUUGAAUGGAUCACAUUUGGCUUUCCUUAUGUCCUUGCUCACUAUCAUGGCUACCACGAGAGCCAAGGCAACCCACAGAGAUGGACUUGAAGUGAGAAAUCUACUCUGACCUUUGCCAGAACAUCCAGCUCAGAUUUUGGCCUAGGAAAAACGAAUUCCUUAUUUAUUAACGCCACUGUUGGAUUGUGGCUGGCAAGAUGACUGAAUAGGAACAGCUCCGGUCUGUAGCUCCCAGCGAGAUCAACGCAGAAGAAACCUCAAGAAAGGCUCUGGCCUAGACUUUCCCCUUGUUCCUGUCUUCUGGCUCUUGACUGACACUGGUGCUUUCCCCCUGUGGUCCUGCAUGGUGUGUGGUGACUACCUCAUUGGGCCCUAAAACUUCUAAAAUCAUCAGGAGAUAUCACUGAAAAGGUUUCAAAACAAAGCCAUAAUCUCUAGAAAUGUGUCCUUGAUGGGUUGGUCUUCAUUUGCCUGAAGACUGAUCAUUCUAAGGAGGAUUUUGUGCUGCUCUUGUUUUGCUGCUGGGCCUAUCCUGUUUCCAUUCCCAAAUCAAGUAUUCCUGGAAUUUAAGGUAUCACUUUACCAGCCUGACCACAAGUUCCCCAUUGUUUCCUCUGCUCUGCUCAUGCCCUGGAAUAAUGCCUCUCCCUGGAUACUAAAUUUACUGACCCUGCCUAGGACCCAGAGAAGAUUGAUGAGUCCUCAGCCUGUGCAUGUCUUCAAAAAGCCACCAACUGAUAGCUACAAAACUGCACUUCCUAGAGACAUGUUGAGAGAGGUUCAAGGCUCAACAGAACUUACCCUUUUGCUGUCAGAGCUCCACCACCAGAUAAGCACAACUGAGCGAAUGACACCAACCAGUGCCAAGAGAAGCAGGACUACCCAACUACACUUUGCCUAAAUUCCUGAUUCACAGAAUUAUAAGCAAAUAAAAUGAUUGUUUAAAGCACUAAGUUUUGGGUUCAUU
Long non-coding RNA from Pan troglodytes (chimpanzee), 1290 nucleotides. RefSeq lists it as uncharacterized. Lineage: Eukaryota; Metazoa; Chordata; Mammalia; Primates; Hominidae. The record is from RefSeq and is a predicted model, not a curated record. The transcript has 8 exons.